GCCGCCGUGGACCACAGGGGUCGCCCUCACUUCAUUGACAACCGCAGACGCUGCCAGAGGGAGCCGGAGGUUCGACUCCUCCCGGCGGCA
This is a non-coding RNA of Mycena latifolia, 90 nucleotides long. The record is from the annotation of a GenBank genome assembly. Lineage: Eukaryota; Fungi; Basidiomycota; Agaricomycetes; Agaricales; Mycenaceae.